This 1027-nucleotide long non-coding RNA is filed under the name Mus musculus (house mouse). Its description in RNAcentral is "predicted gene 11691, transcript variant 2 (Gm11691)". The record is from RNAcentral. Lineage: Eukaryota; Metazoa; Chordata; Mammalia; Rodentia; Muridae.
AUAAAUUGACUUCCUGUGCCUGACCUGCAGGUGGCGGCCAUUCUGUUUCCUGGCCAUGGCUUCACUAAUUUAGGCCUGCUGGGCUCACGGGAAGCCCUUCAAAAAAACGACUCCUUUCAGAUUAACAUGUAAAAUUUAAUUACGGAGGUCCAGGCUGAGAUGAUGUCUAAAGCCAUUUACUAAGCCCGGCGGCCUCCCCGUCCUGGGGCUAAGGAGGCCGAAGCAGAGCUUUGAUCAUUAACCGCUGAGAAAAUCUCAGCUUGCAUAUUAAGAGAAGUGGCAGCGCUUUUAACCCCUUUGGGAUGAGGACAGCGGAGAUGGAGACAGCCAAACGGAUGUAGAACCUCCUAUGAACUUCAAGAGAACAUUUCCGGGAGGAGCAGGGCCCAGCUCUGGUUUUAAUGAUCAGAAGGCCUGAAAGGGCUGUCUUCUCACCCGGAUGGGCCCUUGGCAGACUCCUGGCCUGCCUUCCACAGCUCUCUGUCCUAUCAGGUGGGGAAGGCAGUUCUGAUGGCCAGUUUUUCCUGUGCCCUGGGUUGGGGGCAGCAGGGUGGGGAGAGGUAUCAGGUAUUUGCUCCCAGUUGGUUAGAAAACAUAUAAGAAGAUGCCUGUUUUAGCACUAUCAGGUGGCCCGCAACUGCCCCACUGCCAUUUUAGGAUUGCCAAGAUAGCUUUUAUAAGCAGAGAAAGCUACAUUUGACUCUUUCAGGGAGUCUGGGCACUGCACUACUCCUCGCCAGACCUCUGGUGUACUAAAGAUCUAAACAUUUUCUCUUUUAGAAGCUUCAAGCCUUCUUUCCCUGUGUUAGAAUUUAAUUAAGCCCAGGACUACCUGGUCUGUAAGGAAUUACCUCUGCUGCCGCCCCAGGGGUCCUCAAUUUUAGUUCCAGGACCCAUGGAAUGAAUACUGACAACACCCCCACUCCCACCCCAAACCAGCUGGCUACCUUGUUUGGGGGUUGAGAGACAGCGCAAACGGAAAUAUACCCAGCCUCCUAAAAGGGUGAUUAAACAUUUAAAAUAUCAA